RNAcentral lists this ribosomal RNA (600 nucleotides) under Triticum aestivum (bread wheat). RNAcentral describes it as "partial small subunit ribosomal RNA". Lineage: Eukaryota; Viridiplantae; Streptophyta; Magnoliopsida; Poales; Poaceae. The record is from RNAcentral.
AUGCAUGCUCCUCGUGAUGCUCAUUGGACUGCGGUCAAGCGGGUCCUCCGCUACAUCCGCGGCACCUUGGAUUUCGGUUUGUCUCUUCAUGCCUCUAUGGCUCUGGACAUCACUGCUUACUCGGAUGCUGACUGGGCCGGCUGCCCUGACACGAGACGUUCCACCUCGGGCUAUUGUGUUUAUCUUGGACCAUCGUUGAUCUCUUGGUCGUCUAAGCGGCAGCCCACUGUUUCUCGCUCCAGUGCUGAAGCCGAGUAUCGAGCAGUGGCUAAUGUUGUUGCAGAGUGCUCCUGGCUUCGUCAGCUUCUUCUUGAGCUCUCUUGUCCUGUCGCCAAGGCCACCAUUGUCUACUGCGACAACGUCUCCGCUGUGUACCUCUCCGCCAACCCAGUUCAUCACCGCCGCACCAAACAUAUUGAGCUCGAUAUCCAUUUUGUUCGGGAACAGGUGGCUCUUGGACACAUCCGGGUUCUCCAUGUCCCUACUUCCCAACAGUUUGCGGACAUCAUGACCAAAGGGUUGCCUACGGCGUCUUUCGAGGAUUUUCGCUCCAGUCUCUGCGUCGGACGUCCCGAUGUUUCGACUGCGGGGGGGUGUUGA